RNAcentral lists this ribosomal RNA (253 nucleotides) under uncultured bacterium. RNAcentral's name for it is "partial 16S ribosomal RNA". It matches the Rfam family "Bacterial small subunit ribosomal RNA", at positions 524 to 776 of the family's 1533-position model. The record is from RNAcentral.
UACGUAGGGUGCAAGCGUUGUCCGGAAUUAUUGGGCGUAAAGAGCUCGUAGGCGGUUUGUCGCGUCUGCUGUGAAAACCCGAGGCUCAACCUCGGGCCUGCAGUGGGUACGGGCAGACUAGAGUGCGGUAGGGGAGAUUGGAAUUCCUGGUGUAGCGGUGGAAUGCGCAGAUAUCAGGAGGAACACCGGUGGCGAAGGCGGAUCUCUGGGCCUUACCUGACGCUGAGGCGCGAAAGCUAGGGGAGCGAACAGG